Molecule: ribosomal RNA, 252 nt
Filed under: uncultured bacterium
Lineage: Bacteria
Description: partial 16S ribosomal RNA
Rfam family: Bacterial small subunit ribosomal RNA
Source: RNAcentral
CACGUAGGGCGCAAGCGUUGUCCGGAAUUAUUGGGCGUAAAGAGCUCGUAGGUGGUUUGCUGCGUCCGCUGUGAAACCCAAGGCUUAACCUUGGGCUUGCAGUGGAUACGGGCAGACUAGAGGUAGGGAGGGGAGAAUGGAAUUCCCGGUGUAGCGGUGAAAUGCGCAGAUAUCGGGAGGAACACCGGUGGCGAAGGCGGUUCUCUGGGCCUUACCUGACACUGAGGAGCGAAAGCGUGGGGAGCGAACAGG